AGAGUUUGAUCAUGGCUCAGAACAAACGCUGGCGGCGUGCCUAAUACAUGCAAGUCGAACGAGGUAGCAAUACCUAGUGGCGCACGGGUGAGUAACACGUGGAUAAUCUGCCUUAGAGUGGGGGAUAACUCUCCGAAAGGAGAGCUAAUACCGCAUAAGACCACAGUGACUUCGGUCACAGGGGUUAAAGGAGCAAUUCGCUCUAAGAUGAGUCUGCGUCAGAUUAGCUAGUUGGUGGGGUAAUGGCCUACCAAGGCGACGAUCUGUAGCUGGUCUGAGAGGAUGAUCAGCCACACUGGAACUGAGACACGGUCCAGACUCCUACGGGAGGCAGCAGUAGGGAAUAUUGCACAAUGGGGGAAACCCUGAUGCAGCAACGCCGCGUGAGCGACGAAGGCCUUCGGGUCGUAAAGCUCUGUUGCAGAGGAAGAAAAAAAUGACGGUACUCUGUAAGAAAGGACCGGCCAACUUCGUG
Molecule: ribosomal RNA, 475 nt
Filed under: uncultured bacterium
Lineage: Bacteria
Description: bacterial SSU rRNA
Rfam family: Bacterial small subunit ribosomal RNA
Source: RNAcentral